GCCGGUGUAGCUCAGUUGGCUAGAGCAGCUGAUUUGUAAUCAGCAGGUCGGGGGUUCGAGUCCCUUCACCGGCU
Nitratiruptor tergarcus DSM 16512 is the source of this 74-nucleotide non-coding RNA. Lineage: Bacteria; Pseudomonadati; Campylobacterota; Epsilonproteobacteria; Nautiliales; Nitratiruptoraceae. The record is from Rfam.